UACCAGCACCCCGAGUGGUCGGGACGAUUAUUGGGCCUAAAGCAUCCGUAGCCGGUUUUACAAGUCCUCCGUUAAAUCCAACUGCUUAACAGAUGGGCCGCGGAGGAUACUAUAAGACUCGGAGGCAGGAGAGGCAAGCGGUACUCAGUGGGUAGGGGUAAAAUCCGUUGAUCCAUUUAAGACCACCAGUGGCGGAGGCGGCUUGCCAGAAUGCGUUCGACGGUGAGGGAUGAAAGCUGGGGGAGCAAACCGG
RNAcentral lists this ribosomal RNA (253 nucleotides) under uncultured bacterium. RNAcentral describes it as "partial 16S ribosomal RNA". It matches the Rfam family "Archaeal small subunit ribosomal RNA", at positions 474 to 727 of the family's 1478-position model. The record is from RNAcentral.